Molecule: long non-coding RNA, 480 nt
Organism: Arabidopsis thaliana (thale cress)
Lineage: Eukaryota; Viridiplantae; Streptophyta; Magnoliopsida; Brassicales; Brassicaceae
Product: other RNA
Exons: 1
Source: RefSeq
ACGCUUUUGCCCUUCGUCUUCAACACCAUCGUCUUCAACACCAUUGUCCAGACAUCGAUUUUGACGAUUCAUAGUGUUAUUAACAACACCAUCGUCUUCAACAAAAUUUUCCAGCCAACAUGUCUAUUCUGAUUAACCCAAUCAAUCAAAAUAAAUGAUUUUUGAUUGAAGAAAUCUAAACCCUAAAGGGAUACUAUCUAGGGAACCCUUGGGUUCUAAUCUUAAACACUCCAAUUCAUUAUUAAUUCUAAACCAAAUUUGAUUUUUAUUGUCAAUAGAGUUCAUCAUCAUCGUCACCAACUAAUAACAGAGGAUUUGGAAAAGUAAUUCUAGAGAUCCAAACUAUCACCUUCGCUUCUCACUAUCGCUCAACUCACCAUCGUCGUUGAAACUCACCAUCGUCGCCAACGCUAAUUGGAGGUCGAGAUCUUGCCGUCUUUUUCAUCACGAGACAUGAUUCAUGAGUCACCGCCGUUGCUU